UCCUUGAUGGAGCCCCAUAACCACUAUAAAAUGGUCUGAGUCGCCACCCACCGUCCUAACCCUAGUCUUAGCUCCAUCGUACUUGUCCUUGAUUACUCUGAUGUAGGCUUCCGGCACGCUCUUCGCCUCCAAGCACCUCCAUAGCACCUCCCUUGGGACCUUGUCAUACGCCUUCUCCAAGUCGAUAAGAACCAUGUGCAGGUCAUUUUUCUUAUCCCUGAACUGCUCCACUAACCUCCUGAAAAGCUGGAUAGCUUCUGUAGUGGAGCGACCCGG
This 276-nucleotide long non-coding RNA is filed under the name Nicotiana benthamiana. RNAcentral's name for it is "long non-coding RNA (NBEN_LNC005753)". The record is from RNAcentral. Lineage: Eukaryota; Viridiplantae; Streptophyta; Magnoliopsida; Solanales; Solanaceae.